CCUACGGGAGGCAGCAGUGGGGAAUUUUGGACAAUGGGGGCAACCCUGAUCCAGCAAUGCCGCGUGAGUGAAGAAGGCCUUCGGGUUGUAAAGCUCUUUUGUCAGGGAAGAAAAGGCUGUGGCUAAUAUCCACAGCUGCUGACGGUACCUGAAGAAUAAGCACCGGCUAACUACGUGCCAGCAGCCGCGGUAAUACGUAGGGUGCAAGCGUUAAUCGGAAUUACUGGGCGUAAAGCGUGCGCAGGCGGUUUCGUAAGUCUGUCGUGAAAUCCCCGGGCUUAACCUGGGAAUGGCGAUGGAGACUGCGAGGCUAGAGUUUGGCAGAGGGGGGUAGAAUUCCACGUGUAGCAGUGAAAUGCGUAGAGAUGUGGAGGAACACCGAUGGCGAAGGCAGCCCCCUGGGUCAAAACUGACGCUCAUGCACGAAAGCGUGGGGAGCAAACAGGAUUAGAUACCCUGGUAGUCCACGCCCUAAACGAUGUCUACUAGUUGUUGGGUCUUAAUUGACUUAGUAACGCAGCUAACGCGUGAAGUAGACCGCCUGGGGAGUACGGUCGCAAGAUUAAAACUCAAAGGAAUUGACGG
This 585-nucleotide ribosomal RNA is filed under the name uncultured bacterium. Its description in RNAcentral is "bacterial SSU rRNA". It matches the Rfam family "Bacterial small subunit ribosomal RNA", at positions 338 to 916 of the family's 1533-position model. The record is from RNAcentral.